Molecule: long non-coding RNA, 209 nt
Filed under: Nicotiana benthamiana
Lineage: Eukaryota; Viridiplantae; Streptophyta; Magnoliopsida; Solanales; Solanaceae
Description: long non-coding RNA (NBEN_LNC017265)
Source: RNAcentral
AGAGUAUCUUUUUUUUCACUCUUUACUUCAUUAGGCAGGUAUGUUAAUUACAAGUUACAACUUAUCUGACCUGAGAAAUGUUCUGUCAACGGGAUCAUAAAACUAGGCUUAACAGGUAUGCAUAGGGGUGGCAAACGGGGGUUGAGUCGGAUAUGAGCGGAUCAAAAACGGGUAAUUCAAAAAAUAGACAAACUAUCCGGCCCGACCUG